RNAcentral lists this ribosomal RNA (425 nucleotides) under Clostridioides sp. ZZV13-5731. Its description in RNAcentral is "bacterial SSU rRNA". It matches the Rfam family "Bacterial small subunit ribosomal RNA", at positions 338 to 780 of the family's 1533-position model. Lineage: Bacteria; Bacillati; Bacillota; Clostridia; Peptostreptococcales; Peptostreptococcaceae. The record is from RNAcentral.
CCUACGGGAGGCAGCAGUGGGGAAUAUUGCACAAUGGGGGAAACCCUGAUGCAGCGACGCCGCGUGAGCGAAGAAGUAUUUCGGUAUGUAAAGCUCUAUCAGCAGGGAAGAUAAUGACGGUACCUGACUAAGAAGCCCCGGCUAACUACGUGCCAGCAGCCGCGGUAAUACGUAGGGGGCAAGCGUUAUCCGGAUUUACUGGGUGUAAAGGGAGCGUAGACGGCGUGGCAAGUCUGAUGUGAAAGCCCGGGGCUCAACCCCGGGACUGCAUUGGAAACUGUCUGGCUUGAGUGCCGGAGAGGUAAGCGGAAUUCCUAGUGUAGCGGUGAAAUGCGUAGAUAUUAGGAGGAACACCAGUGGCGAAGGCGGCUUACUGGACGGUAACUGACGUUGAGGCUCGAAAGCGUGGGGAGCAAACAGGAUUA